GAUGAAGAACGUAGCGAAAUGCGAUAAGUAGUGUGAAUUGCAGAAUUCAGUGAAUCAUCGAAUCUUUGAACGCACAUUGCGCCCUUUGGUAUUCCUUAGGGCAUGCCUGUUCGAGCGUCAUUUAAACCUUCAAGCUAAGCUUGGUGUUGGGUGACUGUCCGCUUCACGGCGGACUCGCCUCAAAAUUAUUGGCGGCCGGUACAUUGGCUUCGAGCGCAGCAGAAACGCGAACUCGGGCCCGUCGUAUUGGCUCCCAGAAGCUAUCUUCACAAUUUUGACCUCGGACCAGGUAGGGAUACCCGCUGAACUUAAGCAUAUCAAUAAGCGGAGGA
This 332-nucleotide unclassified non-coding RNA is filed under the name soil metagenome. RNAcentral's name for it is "partial contains 5.8S ribosomal RNA, internal transcribed spacer 2, and large subunit ribosomal RNA". The stretch from base 1 to 120 matches the Rfam family "5.8S ribosomal RNA", at positions 35 to 154 of the family's 154-position model. The record is from RNAcentral.